GCACCUAUNACCCAUAUAUCUUUAUAUUUUUUUAGCNAAUGCUCGUUCGGUUUUAGGUUGGGGUGACCAUGGAGUAAAAAAUAACCUCCACGAAAAAAGGCAUAAAACCCUUAUCAAAGAGCCACAUCUCUAUGAAUUAGUAAACUAAUUUCUGAUGAUCCGAUAUUCGAUCAACGAACCAAGUUACCCUGGGGAUAACAGCGCAAUCCGCCUUAAGAGCCCCUAUCGACAGGCGGGUUUACGACCUCGAUGUUGGAUCAGGGUAUCCCAGUGGUGCAACAGCUACUAAAGGUUCGUUUGUUCAACGAUUAAAACCCU
This 318-nucleotide ribosomal RNA is filed under the name Boophis picturatus. RNAcentral's name for it is "partial 16S ribosomal RNA". It matches the Rfam family "Bacterial large subunit ribosomal RNA", at positions 2219 to 2597 of the family's 2925-position model. Lineage: Eukaryota; Metazoa; Chordata; Amphibia; Anura; Mantellidae. The record is from RNAcentral.